AAGGCAUGGUGAUUUCUUACCUGGGGCUUCAGUAAAUGCCAGGUCUCUGGAAGCUGUUAUAUGGACAUAAAGGCAUUACUUCGCCAUUCACUAAUAUGAGUUCAAUCAGUGUGUGUGCCUCUUCAGGAAGUCCCUGUUGUGCAUUUAUUUUCCUUGGUGCCAUCAUUCCGAAAUCGGUCGUUAACCAAAUGCAGGUCUCGCUUUUAGCUCCUUUCGGGGUUUUUUUGUUUUUUGUUUUUUUAAUGUUUAUUUAUCUUUGAGUGAGAAAGGGAGCGCCUUUGAGAGCAGGGGAGGGGCAGAGAACGAGGUGGGGCAGAGGAUCCAAAGCAGGCUGCAUGCUGACAGCAGAGAGCCCGAUGCGGGGCUUGAACUCACCAACCAUCAGAUCAUGACCUGAGCCGGAGUCUCAAGCUUAACCGACUGAGCCACCCAGGUGCCCCUAGCUCAUUUCAGUUUUGUAGCAGCAUUAAAAAAAAAAAAAACAAAAACAAAAAAAAAAAAACCAGGAAAGGAAGAAUAAAGUUCUAAUGAAUAAAUGUCAACCUUCUCAAGAAGAAACUAUAGAUUAAUAAUAUAUUACUAUUUCCAAGGGAGUACAUAGAGUUCACACUGUUUCAUCUGUCAGUCUCCUGUUUUUCAGUAACUGUUUUGGCUCCACGUCUGAAGUAGGAAUCAGUCGCUAACGUUUUGCAGACUAACGUUCCCAUGAAGCCACAAAUUGGCCCUCAGAUGUGACGGGAUGGGGCACAAACCAGUCUCUGCCAGGUUACAAGCACCCCACUUCUUACUUGCCCAGGGUAGCAAAUGCCUUUGAACCACACUCCUUCCGCCUGGAAAGAGCAGUGGAGAUGUGACAACCAUCUGAUGAUUUCGAUCUGGAUAAACAGCUCCGAAGGGACAGGGCUGAAAGCAGCGGCUCUCAAAAUGUGGUCCCUGGACCGAAGGCAUCAUCACCAUCACCUGAGAACUUGCUAGAAAUGCAAAUCCUGGCUCCAGGCCAGAGCUACUGAACCUGACACUCUGGGGCCUCCAGAGCGGUGAGCGAUACAUGCCUUUUGUUUGAACCCCUCACACCCCGGCCUUUUUAUGAUAGCAUCCCAAGUGGACAAAGACAGGGACAUUAAUGGGAGAACUGGUCCACACAAAGACCUAACAAGCCAAGCCCCCUCCCGGGAAGAGCACAGCCGAAGCCUUCCCACAGAACGUGUGGCCAGCUACUUUUGAGUAGCUUGGACCAAGAUUUAUUGUCAACAGCCCAGUCGGUAACAGCUGUUUGCAUUCCUCAGCCCCUCCAUUGCCUCCUGAAUGUCAAGUCUCUUAGCUGAAAGAGCAUCCUUCAUUUGGCUAUGCCUGCUCAAAAGAAUUACUUUUGCACGGUAUGAUCUGCUCAGCUAUACCCAUCUUCCACAUGCAGCCCUCCCAAGCCGGACACGAAUACAAAAGAAACGGAAGAUUAAUUCCAGAUAGUACGUGGCUCAAGCCAAUUAACUCGGCGCACACUGGAUGGUCCCUAAUCGCUCUUCUAGCGAGCGGAGGCUCUGCGUUUCCCUUCUUACUGCCUUCUGGCCUCUCUUUGUAAAUACAUACUAGUCAGAAUUGAA
This is a long non-coding RNA of Acinonyx jubatus (cheetah), 1601 nucleotides long. RefSeq lists it as uncharacterized. The record is from RefSeq and is a predicted model, not a curated record. NCBI's taxonomy places the organism in Eukaryota, Metazoa, Chordata, Mammalia, Carnivora, Felidae. The transcript has 4 exons.